Molecule: long non-coding RNA, 2817 nt
Organism: Apis cerana (Asiatic honeybee)
Lineage: Eukaryota; Metazoa; Arthropoda; Insecta; Hymenoptera; Apidae
Source: RefSeq, a predicted model, not a curated record
AAAAGAAAAAGAAAAAGAGAACUCUAUCUAGUAUUCAUAUUUCCCAAUAUCGAUUUACACUCUUAUUCGUUCCUCUAAAUUAUUUAUGAAAAAAUAGGAAGAAAAUAAGCAUAUUUCCACUUUACGUAGUUAAUUAAAGAAAUAUUUACAAAUUAUAUUUCUCAUCUCACAAAUAUAUUUUUCAUGCAAUACGAGAACGUAAUUAUUAUUAAAAAAAAAAUAACAACGUCAAUGUUAAUUGGUUAUUGGAUUUUAUUAUAAGUUUAUCGUACGUUUAUAUAAUUUUUUUUUCAAAUGAGAAAAUAUUCCAUGAAGAAAAAAAGAGAGAAAUAUAUCUUUUAUGUGGUUAAUUAGUUUAUGGAAUCGAGUUUUGAGCAUCGAUGGUAGGUAUUUCCAAUUCCAUUCAGUUAAUGUUAAUUAACCACGUACACCUAGAAAUGCUAGUAUAAUCGUAAUACUGGACAAAAACAGUCGCUAUAUUGUAAUUUGACGUGUAAUUACGAAAUUCAGGGUAUAUAUUGUCUCGCCUUUGACCGAGUUUAACUUUAAUAUUCAUCUAAAUGAAAUGGAAAAAAUUACAGAAUAUUCUAGCAUAUUUGGAGGAAACAAAGGAACAGAAAGUUGAAUUUACAAUAGUUAGUCACGGCAAGAUAUUCUAUUAUUAUCAUCAAAUCCUUCGUGAUUGCCGCCAUGUUAAAUACGAUUCAAUGAAAACUUCACCGAUGAAAAAUAAAUAAUCGUCUCGGUAUAUUUAUAUUUUUAAAAUUUCACUCGAUUGCUUCAUUACUGUUUUUCAUAAAAUGGGAAUUAAAAAUUGGAAAUUGAAAAUAAAUUGAAAAUAAAAUGUUAUUAUAUAUCGUUACAUGAAUUUUAUUAACAAAAAACUAUUUUUUAGGGCAAGGAGGAUUUCGAAAUAACACGCAAAGCGGUGUAAAGCAAUAUGAGAAUUUUCAAAAAUAGAGAAUAAAAAGGAACAAUGUGUUUCAUAAUGUUUUCUUGGCGGCACUAUUUUUGUUCCACGUAUUACGUUCUAAUGCACGCCGAACAGAAAAGUCUCUCUCCACGAAAAUGAAACGCAAUUUUUUUUAAAUACAAUUCUUCUUUUUUUUAUCUUUCUCUCUUUUUUAUCUAUUUUUUUUUCUUUUUUUUUUUCUAGUGCAUAUUCUUCCCAAUGUUGCAACCAAACGAGACACGAGAAAAUUUUUGAAAUAUUUAUACCGCAAAAUAAUAUAUGCUUCCUACGUAUAAAUUCCUGCUGAAUAUAUAAGGUGUUUCAGAAACGGUGAUAUAACUAAACAGAAGGUUAUUCAUAUGCAAACGUAUAAAAAUCUUAAAUAGGAUAUUUUAGAUAUUCUAGCAUCCUGUAUAUGUGUAUACGUGUUUUGAAUUAACGUAUAAGGUUUAAAAAAAGUAGAAAGAAAAAGGCAAGAGUGGAAUAACAACAUACCCACGUUCGAGCAGAUAUUCAUAUGCACGUGUUUUGCGAACGCUAUCUAUGAAAGAAUCAGUAAAAGCUGCUUUUGUCUAGAAUACUAAUAUAAAAUUGCAUCAGAGAAAUUAUAAUUCCGAAUAUAAAUAUUACAUUUCGCGUGAUGAAGCAUUUACAUUAAUAAAUCUAUGAUAAUAUCGCAACAAUUAUGGAAAUCCAAAUCAAAGAAUAAUUUCAUUCGAUCGAACUUAGAGAAUGAAUAAAAAAGUAAGUACAAAUAAUUUUUCGAAUUUCCUUGAUAUUCAGCAGGAUUAAACAUGAAUUUUACAUUACUACUUGCAUCCUCAUGAAUCAAUAUAAAAACGUUAUCGAUUUUUCCCUCUUUUUGAAGCUUCAAGGGAAGGAAAAUCAUCCCUAUUACCUUUCGAAAUGUUGUUCUCACGUUCGAUUCGCUAUUUUCGUAUUCGUAUCGCGCGGUAACAAUUGGUAUUCAUAUUGGAACCAUUGUCUGGUCGAUUAUAAACAAGCUUUUGUCGAUUUCACGGUAGUUUCAGCCCGAGAUCAGAACGCGAUAUCCCUCAGGUAUAUGCAUAUGAAUAAUGGUGGCUGCAAGAGUUAAUUCUCGCUCAUCGAGAAUCACGUCGUACGUUAAACUUUGAUAUUCGUAUUAUUCUCUUGGAUGAAUGGAGAGUUGUUCUCGUUAAUUCCCUCCAGAAUAAUAUCGAGGAAAAUUUUCUUUCCAAAAAUAAUAAAAAAAAUGUCGAAUGGGUAUUGCAAAUUAUAGAAUUAUUAUUUUAUUCUAUGCAUUUACAUAAUAAAAUUCGAAUAUACAAAAAUUCACAAAAUAUACGCGUGAACUAAUGCAUUGUUACAUGCAAUUUGAUAUAAAAAUUUGAUUUUCUUUAAUUCACAGGAAGAUUUCAAGGUUAUUUCUUUUCGUAUUUUAUCGAAUCAUUUCGAAACUGAAUUUAACUUUCAAAAAAGUUUUUUAAAUAUAUGAUAAAUUUUUUAGACAUUAGUAUUUGCAGAAAUCAAACGAUUAGGUUUGAUAAAAAUAAAUGGUUUGAUUUCUACGAUAAAUACGAUUCUAAAUUUUGUUCGCAAUAGCAAAAAAAAAAAAAAAAAAAGAAAGAAAGAAAAAACAGGAGAUGCAUUAAACGAGCAGGUUUUUCGAAAAAUAAGAUAAGUGGAACAAAAAAUUUCUCGUCACUGGUUACCGAGGAUAGAGUUUUAUACGAAAUUAUGCAUCUUGUUAGAACGACGACACUCGUAAACGAUCGUUUUUGUUCUCGACGGAAGCUCAACGAAAUUGGAAUUUUUUUUUGGGAUCAACGUAAUAGAAGUUUCAGAAAAUUUGAAAAUCAGGCUUAUUAUGUGAUUAUAUAUAU